This 801-nucleotide ribosomal RNA is filed under the name uncultured bacterium. Its description in RNAcentral is "bacterial SSU rRNA". It matches the Rfam family "Bacterial small subunit ribosomal RNA", at positions 81 to 868 of the family's 1533-position model. The record is from RNAcentral.
GCUCCUCUGAUUCAGCGGCGGACGGGUGAGUAACACGUGGGCAACCUGCCUGUAAGACUGGGAUAACUUCGGGAAACCGGAGCUAAUACCGGAUAACUCACGAGACUACAUGGUCUUAUGAUAAAAGAUGGUUUCGGCUAUCACUUACAGAUGGGCCCGCGGCGCAUUAGCUAGUUGGUGAGGUAACGGCUCACCAAGGCGACGAUGCGUAGCCGACCUGAGAGGGUGAUCGGCCACACUGGGACUGAGACACGGCCCAGACUCCUACGGGAGGCAGCAGUAGGGAAUCUUCCGCAAUGGACGAAAGUCUGACGGAGCAACGCCGCGUGAGCGAUGAAGGCCUUCGGGUCGUAAAGCUCUGUUGUUAGGGAAGAACAAGUAUCAGUUAACUACUGGUACCUUGACGGUACCUAACGAGAAAGCCACGGCUAACUACGUGCCAGCAGCCGCGGUAAUACGUAGGUGGCAAGCGUUGUCCGGAUUUAUUGGGCGUAAAGCGCGCGCAGGCGGUUCUUUAAGUCUGAUGUGAAAGCCCCCGGCUCAACCGGGGAGGGUCAUUGGAAACUGGGGAACUUGAGUGCAGAAGAGAAGAGCGGAAUUCCACGUGUAGCGGUGAAAUGCGUAGAGAUGUGGAGGAACACCAGUGGUGAAGGCGGCUCUUUGGUCUGUAACUGACGCUGAGGCGCGAAAGCGUGGGGAGCAAACAGGAUUAGAUACCCUGGUAGUCCACGCCGUAAACGAUGAGUGCUAAGUGUUGGAGGGUUUCCGCCCUUCAGUGCUGCAGCUAACGCAUUAAGCACU